This is a long non-coding RNA of Photinus pyralis (common eastern firefly), 2505 nucleotides long. RefSeq lists it as uncharacterized. NCBI's taxonomy places the organism in Eukaryota, Metazoa, Arthropoda, Insecta, Coleoptera, Lampyridae. The record is from RefSeq and is a predicted model, not a curated record. The transcript has 3 exons.
CAAAACAAACGUAUUUAUCACAGUGAUAAAUACAUUAUUAACCAAAUAUUUCUGUAACUGGUAUCAUAUCAAUUAGGAAAUUAUCCUGUAGGUACAUUCAAUUUCAUUUUAUAUCACAGUAAAUAUUUAAAUAAUAUGUAAAAAUGUCUGUUGUUGUUAUAGUACAUCUAUGGCAUUGUUACGGCCGUACACGGCUUAUGUUAUCACUAACCCCUGACCUUAAAGAUAAUAUGACCCCUAAAGUCAUCUCCAUCUUAAAACAAACAGUCAACCAGUUUCAGUUAGAUAGUAUGGAGGUAUUUUUUAUAUCAUUUUAAAUCGUAUUUAGAGAAUGAAAGUAAAAUGUAUAACGUGAUGGCGUCGCGAAUUUAUAUUGCCAAAGAACGGCGCAAACAUUAAUUGUGUAUUUUUAAAGUUACUGGAAAUGUAUGUGUUUAGUCACUGCGGGGACAAUUAAGCUUCUGGUUGAAUUUUGAUGAGUGAGAUGUGAGUCACAUUUAUUUGUAACAAUUUCUUUGAUUUUGUCUCAUUGUGGACCAAGUAAAGGUAAUCCAUCUAUGAGAAAAUAUUACAGUUUUUUUCCUAUUUUGAUUCAGCAAUGAAAUUUUUAUGACAAAUAAAAUUCAAAUAAAAGACGUUUCAUAUCAUUUACGUGCAAUAUGGUAUAAACUUACACGAAAUUUUUGAUUAAGUACGACGUUGAAUCCAAAAAAGCUACUCGAUUUCAUGUUACCUUUCCAGUAGACUUGAGCAAUUUAAAUUUGAGCAAUAUUUUUUAAGUCCCUAGGUAUUAUACCUACGUAUCUGAUACAUUAAUUAUAAUUUUGUUUUAUAGUAGGUACAUCAUGACGUGUCGCUCAUAAGCUAUUACGAAGUCAAUUAUAAACGAGAGACGGUUAAUUUAACAGGGGUCGAAUCACUUAACCUUACAAACGUACCCGCAACAAGUGAAUGAAAAAUGUGAGGGGGCAGCCAUUGCUAUAGAAUUAUCUUAAGAAAUAGAGCAAUUAACCUGAUAAUUUAUGAAAAAGCGAAAAAAAAACGCCAUGGUUUAGGUAAUUGAACUGUGUGGGUCAAUAACUGUAGAAAAUUGAAGUGAAAAUCUACAGGUGUCGCAUCUUCAAUCCAUCAGAAAGUACCUACUAGGAUGACAUCAACCGUACUACCCUGUUACUAAGUACUAGUGCCGCAGGAGUACUAUUGACCUCCUGCUGCUCAAGUGCUUAUCAAUGGGAAUAAGUACUAACAACGCACAUUCGGCCACAUCUUCGAAAUUCUGAGUCGGAAAGCUUACUCUACGCAAGUUAUUUCAAACGUCUUUAGGUAAAUAAGCUCCAAAGUAGGUAAUGUAAUUAGACAAUACCUAUAUCUUACAAUUACGUAUUAUACCUACCAUUUAAAAAAGUACUUUGAGCAGUGCUUUGAUUUUAUUAAAUUAUAUAUUUUCAAAAUGGAUCAAGAAUGGGAUUGAGAAGAUAUUCAUCAUGUAAUAUGAGCAGUAGUGAAGAAGCGAAAGUUGUCUUUCGCGUACUUUGCUAACCUCCAUUUUAGUUUUAACUGGCUACAAUAAUAUAAAAUGAUAGGCACGUGUGAAACUGUAAUUUGUUUCAAAUUAAGUCGGCACACUAUUGCUAUAGAUAACCUUCUUAUUUGUAGAGUUAGAAGGGCGGUUUUCUAAUCAAUCCAAAUCUGUAAUUAAAGAAAAACAACAUCCCAUUUUUCAUACAAAAAAAAUAUGAGUUCCUUAUAUGGAACACCCUGUAUAUUAUUACAUUAUAUGACCGCUUAUUAAAUCCUUACAAAAGUUUUGAAUGCACCAUUACACCAUAGCCAAAAUACUUCAAGUAAUCAAGAUUUUUGAAUUAUUUUAAUUUCGAUCUAGUUAUCCAUAACGAUGAUAAAAUGACGUUGUUUCUUGUAAAGUCUCAGACAUCUAACUUUGUUUCUCUUAAGUUUAUUUCCUAUUUACCCAACUCAACACAGUUUGACAUUACUUGUACCGAAACCGAGCGUAUGUCCCAUUCAAGAAAACAUUGAGUGAUAUAUUUGGUAUAUUAGGUAUGCAAUUUCCUCUGGGUACGCGAAACCGAGCUUAUGUCCCAUCCAAGAAAACAAGAUGUUCCAAAGGCGGUAUGAAGUUUGCCGGGUCUGUUACUAAAUAAUUGCGAAUAUGUGAUGCUUCGUUCAUCGUUCUUAUAAGAUAUAGCUAAACAUUACAGAGGAUGCCAAAAGUUAAUCAACGAAAUGCGUACCUAUACGUCGUUCCUACACGAAUAUUUACACUUUGAUAAUACCUACUCGUCAACUCGUGUAGGUACAUCAAAAUCAGUUAUAUACAUAUCAAAUUAACUUUAUUAAACAAAAAUUCUGUCUUCACCAAAAAAAUAUCCAUAAUUGAUAAUCGGGUAAUAGAAAUACAUAUUAUUGUUAAUGCAAAAUUGACUGAUUAAAAAUAGUAUAUUGAAAGACAGGUGUUACAAUGCGAUCUAUUGUAAUACGACUAUC